Molecule: long non-coding RNA, 357 nt
Filed under: Linum usitatissimum (flax)
Lineage: Eukaryota; Viridiplantae; Streptophyta; Magnoliopsida; Malpighiales; Linaceae
Description: long non-coding RNA (LUSI_LNC001282)
Source: RNAcentral
UGAUUUAAUUAUAUGUCAAGACGAAGAGGAGAUAGACAGAGAUGCACCAACUUUGAUUUUAUUUAAAUUUUUGUAUGAACAACGAUAAAUCAAUGCUGAAAGCACAAUUUGUUCGGCUCCUAUCUGUCCUGUCACUUUGUGAAUUGUGAUAUCUUGGGAAAAGAGAACUAUUUCUUCCUAGAGAUGGAAGAGUUCUGAGAUGUAGAAUUUGAAAUAUAUUUCUUCAACUGAUUAGAAUAUUAUUUUAUUUUUACAAUCAGAAACUCAAUACAGCUUUAUGCAGUCAGAAUAUAUCGAAUAAAACCUCAUCCAAAAUGGUUCGUGCACCCAUUAAAAUGAAUAUUUUAGAUGUAAAAG